CAAAUUGAUGAAGAAGACAUUGUUGCAUACAUGAUCGCCGGCCUUGACUCUGACUAUGAGCCAGUGGUGUCCGCCCUCGCCGCACAGAAGGAACCUGUCACCAUAGCAGAGCUCUAUGGGCAGCUGCUAGGGUUUGAAG
This 139-nucleotide small nucleolar RNA is filed under the name Leersia perrieri. Its description in RNAcentral is "Small nucleolar RNA Z247". It matches the Rfam family "Small nucleolar RNA Z247". Rfam says of the family: Z247 is a member of the C/D class of snoRNA which contain the C (UGAUGA) and D (CUGA) box motifs. Most of the members of the box C/D family function in directing site-specific 2'-O-methylation of substrate RNAs. The record is from Rfam by way of RNAcentral. Lineage: Eukaryota; Viridiplantae; Streptophyta; Magnoliopsida; Poales; Poaceae.